This is a long non-coding RNA of Ooceraea biroi (clonal raider ant), 3577 nucleotides long. RefSeq lists it as uncharacterized. The record is from RefSeq and is a predicted model, not a curated record. Lineage: Eukaryota; Metazoa; Arthropoda; Insecta; Hymenoptera; Formicidae.
AAGAAAAUAUAAACAACAUAUUGAAAAAUUAACAUUAUAUUUCAUAGAAAUCUGUACGUUCCGGUUUAUUGUAAUAUAAAUUUUAUUUUAUAAAUUUUAUUUCUAUUUGUUUUUAUAAAAUAUAACACAUACAUAUACAUAUUUUAUAUAUUUUAUACUGCAUAAUAGAAUUUCUUUUCUUUUAUUUUGCGGGCAUAAUUCUCUUCAAACUUUUAAACAUAGUUUUAUACUAUAGAUAUUUACUUUAUUACAGGAUUUUCAUUUCCCCUAUAAGGGAAAUAAAAAUCUGCGUAUUGAUCGUUCGUAUUGAUGUAUCCGUUGAAUGGACACAAAGUUGUAUAUGCACAAACGCGCUGGUAACGAAAUAAAAAUUUAGUCGACAGCGUUUGCAUGGUCGGACUUGUUACGUAAAUUGCGCGAACGUUAUAAUUGUGCAAACGCGGACAAUGUUGGCCGGAUUCGAUACGAUUAAACCUGCCGCCGCGAUAACCCGCCCUCACUCAAACACACAAAUGCACUCAAUCAAAUUUACUACUGGAGAUUACAUUUCGGAACUAACAAGCCCAAGAAAAUUCAAAUCAACGCGAUGACUUUGCAACGAUUUCGCGUAAAAUGAGAUCAUAUAAUUUUCGCAUGCUAAUAUUUGAAUGUGACAUUUUUCCGUGAGGCAUAAACGAGAGAAUGCUUAACUUGUAUGAUCUACGAGAUGCUAAUAUGAUAAUAUUACAUUAACAUUUAUCAAAUGUAACAAGAGAAAGCACUUUUAUUUGUCGAGCGAUUUUCCCAUAUCCCGAAAAAGAAAAACGGACGACGAGUCAUGCUCUGGUCGUUUGAGCCACUUGUGCAAUUAAUUUUGAGAGAAUUGACAUCAAUUGGCAUUAACGAGUAUGAGUGUGCGUGCGCGCGCCUAUGCUCGUGUGGAUAGGCAUACAGAAGAGAAGGCAAUUACGGAAAAUUUACACCAAUGAGUAUUCAUCUAAAUUAUUAUUGGAUGCCAAAUUUCAAACUGUUCAUCGCUCAUUUCGGCGCAUUCUACACCUGGCGUACGGACGAAUCGGAUUACAUUACGAGCAUCGAAUAACGUUUGCAAUAAUCGCGAUCCGGGUAAUCGCGGCACGGCAGAUUUAACAAGUGCAGAAUACGCAUGAUUCGCUCUCGGCGGCUGCAACGCAAGUUAUGUUGAAUCGAUUAUCUCUAUUCCGCUUUGGCGUCCAUCUUGCCGACGAUUGAACGACCUUUGUUCUCCGUUCUCGUAACUGCCACACCGUCAGCUUGCGUCGAUUGACCAAUGCAUUCCCUUUUGUCAACCGGUUUUCCUUCGACCAAGUUCAAGAGUGAUAGGUCGAACUGCUGCUAGAUCAGUGCUUCGAUAAUAAGAAAAUCACAGCUGCAGCUGAAAACUGUCAUCUCUGAGCCGCAAAUGUAGCGAGUGUCCGCGAUAAUCGAUCUUCAAUCGGAAAAUGAUCUAUAUCUGUUCACCAAAACAAUCAAACCAAACGUCACUUUUUUAUUUAGAUACUUUAUGAUUUCUUUCAUUCAAUAGUGAUUUCUGAAAAAAGGAGUGGUUCUUUACAAUUGUUAUAUCGGACAGAUUUGAUGUUUACAACAGUUCUGAGAAAAAGUCCUCGAACUGUCUUGUCUUCAAGUGAAUUAAUCAACGUCUACGCUUCAGAGAACGAGCAGUAAGAAUACGCCGGUCGAGAGGAGACGUGUUCGCUGUACCGUUAGAUAAUCGAAAUACACAGCCGCCGCCAUAGUCGAGGUCGACAUGGGGGUAAGUCAGCUAAAAUUAAUGGUCCAAGUUUAAAGCGCCUCAUAUGAUAGUUAUAUUGCUUAUGUCGAGAUAGUAUGACAAACCAGCCUGGCAAGGCUAACGCCAUUAUUCUGUUGACUUUAACAAUAAACCACGUGUACGUGCGUGCAUAUACCUGUCGCGUGAUGUUCUCACGUUUUACGUAGAAGCAGAGAGGAGAUUAAAUUCUCUUGUUUAGAAAGUUUCAAAGUAAAACAGUUUUUCGGUAGACUCGUUACGUCUUGAUAACGCUCCUGAUUUUAUAGUGUAUCAUAGAGAAAUGAAUAAUAAUAAUUAUUAAUAACGAGUAAUAAUGAUAACGAUCAUAACGAGAAUAUUAUAAUGCAUUCUAUUAUACUCUAAUUCGAAUUUAUGAUAUAAUUGGCCUCAAUCGAGAUACCUCAAUAAUGGACACGCCUCGCUUACUUUUCUGCGUCAGGGAAUUGUCCUGAACGGAAAUUACGAUUUACUUUCGCGAGCCUCGAUGCUCGUUACAAGCAAAAAUUGGGUCUUAGAAAGCCAGCUAACGAUGCAGAGCGCGUUCGAUUGCGCUUUUUCCAUUUUGAAUAUAAUGUCUUGUUUGCGUGCGCUGAGACUCGAUGAGAGAACAGGCGGAUGAAGUGGCGUGAAUUUCAGAAAGCACUCCGGCAAGGCGAUGAUAAAUAAAACCUGUUUACCCACCCCUCUCUCCCUAUCCCCGAGGGAUGAAUAUCGGGAAAUCAUAGACCUGUCGAUACCGACGUGGUGCAACACGCUACAACGUGGCGACGUCAAAUGGGAAUCCAUAGACUGGAAACGAGCCGUCACGCAAUGCACGCAUCUGCGUCCGCACCGUAUCACACAAAUGCGAGAAUAAAAUGCGCGAAAACCAUUUUCUCACGUACAGCAAUUAUUUCCACGCGCGAUAUGAUCGGAGAAACUAGUAUCACGUCUUUGCCGCGCAUAAAAGAUUAAUUGCCGACGAACUGAAUAAGUAUAUAUAAUGCGUUGAACAUUAUUAUAUGAUUAUACAAAUAAGGAGAAAAUGGCCGUCACGCUCUCGUAUCUUCGUGCAUCGCUCGGAUUUUCCUUUCGUUUUUUCUUUGCACAAUACGCAAAUAAAUCUUGCCACAAGGCUUGUUUCCGCUGAUUAAUUGCCAUAAAUUCGAUAUUAUUAUCAUUAUCAUCUUUAUUCUGGUAAUAAUACAUUUAAAAUCGCGUGGAAUCUUUUCGUCUGUGUUUACAAUUUUCUUUUUCGCAGAAUGAAUAAUUGAUCGUUAACAGUGACCAAAAAUUAUGAAACGUCACAUCAGUGAGAUAUAUUUGAUGAACACUUUAAAGUAUCGUUAUUUCAUACCCUAUUUUAUUCACGACGAUUUUAUUCGCUUGUUUGUGAAUGCCGCACAAAUAGAGCGCAGCGAAAUUCAUAUUUAUUCGGCCGUUACCGUUGUGCGGAAAAUCCUGUGUUUUCGUGACGCUUUCCUAGUGAUAACUUGGCCACAUGACUAGCCGGUCAAAUGCAUUUCCGAUCGCCAAUGUGAUUCGUUUCACUCCCGCGCAUCCCGGAUUUAUGAGUCUUGCGCUAGCGAAAUUGCGCGCGCGCUCACGAUUGUAUCGCGUCGAGUGCUGAAUAAGUCAUACAUGCGCGAGAGAACUCUUCGCAACGAACAAUAUCGGUGCACUCUCGCCGCGUGCUCGUCGAGAGCUCUAUUUCGCAGCACGAUCUCUCUUGAAAUUUAUCACCAAUCGUGACAAUAAACUUCUUCGUUACGUGUAUUGAGGAAAAAUUUUCUUGAAGAAAAAAAA